UAAGAGUUUGGAACCUGGCUCAGAUUGAACGCUAGCGGGAUGCUUUACACAUGCAAGUCGAACGGCAGCGCGAGAGAGCUUGCUCUCUUGGCGGCGAGUGGCGGACGGGUGAGUAAUAUAUCGGAACGUGCCCAGUAGCGGGGGAUAACUACUCGAAAGAGUGGCUAAUACCGCAUACGCCCUACGGGGGAAAGGGGGGGAUCGCAAGACCUCUCACUAUUGGAGCGGCCGAUAUCGGAUUAGCUAGUUGGUGGGGUAAAGGCUCACCAAGGCAACGAUCCGUAGCUGGUUUGAGAGGACGACCAGCCACACUGGGACUGAGACACGGCCCAGACUCCUACGGGAGGCAGCAGUGGGGAAUUUUGGACAAUGGGGGAAACCCUGAUCCAGCCAUCCCGCGUGUAUGAUGAAGGCCUUCGGGUUGUAAAGUACUUUUGGCAGAGAAGAAAAGGUAUCCCCUAAUACGGGAUACUGCUGACGGUAUCUGCAGAAUAGCCCGAAUUG
This 504-nucleotide ribosomal RNA is filed under the name Alcaligenes sp. Its description in RNAcentral is "bacterial SSU rRNA". It matches the Rfam family "Bacterial small subunit ribosomal RNA", at positions 1 to 499 of the family's 1533-position model. The record is from RNAcentral. Lineage: Bacteria; Pseudomonadati; Pseudomonadota; Betaproteobacteria; Burkholderiales; Alcaligenaceae.